AUACGGAGGGUGCAAGCGUUACUCGGAAUCACUGGGCGUAAAGCGCGCGCAGGCGGCUAUUUAAGUUGGAUGUGAAAGCCUACGGCUCAACCGUAGAACUGCAUCCAAAACUAUUUAGCUAGAGUGUGGGAGAGGAAGAUGGAAUUAGUUGUGUAGGGGUAAAAUCCGUAGAGAUAACUAGGAAUACCAAAAGCGAAGGCAAUCUCCUGGAACACUACUGACGCUGAGGCGCGAAAGCGUGGGUAGCAAACGGGAUUAGAAACCCUAGUAGUCC
This 274-nucleotide ribosomal RNA is filed under the name uncultured bacterium. Its description in RNAcentral is "partial 16S ribosomal RNA". It matches the Rfam family "Bacterial small subunit ribosomal RNA", at positions 523 to 796 of the family's 1533-position model. The record is from RNAcentral.